This 81-nucleotide transfer RNA is filed under the name Armatimonadota bacterium. Its description in RNAcentral is "tRNA-Tyr". It matches the Rfam family "tRNA". Rfam says of the family: Transfer RNA (tRNA) molecules are approximately 80 nucleotides in length. Their secondary structure includes four short double-helical elements and three loops (D, anti-codon, and T loops). Further hydrogen bonds mediate the characteristic L-shaped molecular structure. tRNAs have two regions of fundamental functional importance: the anti-codon, which is responsible for specific mRNA codon recognition, and the 3' end, to which the tRNAs corresponding amino acid is attached (by aminoacyl-tRNA synthetases). tRNAs cope with the degeneracy of the genetic code in two manners: having more than one tRNA (with a specific anti-codon) for a particular amino acid; and 'wobble' base-pairing, i.e. permitting non-standard base-pairing at the 3rd anti-codon position. The record is from RNAcentral. Lineage: Bacteria; Bacillati; Armatimonadota.
GGGGAGAUGCCCGAGUGGACAAAGGGAACUGACUGUAAAUCAGUCGCGUUAGCUUCGGAGGUUCGAAUCCCCCUCUCCCCA